UCCCUGGUGGCUCAGACGGUAAAGCGUCUGCCCGCAAUGCAGGAGCCCUGGGUUCGAUCCCUGGGUCGGGAA
RNAcentral lists this transfer RNA (72 nucleotides) under Ovis aries (sheep). It matches the Rfam family "tRNA". Rfam says of the family: Transfer RNA (tRNA) molecules are approximately 80 nucleotides in length. The record is from Rfam by way of RNAcentral. Lineage: Eukaryota; Metazoa; Chordata; Mammalia; Artiodactyla; Bovidae.